RNAcentral lists this ribosomal RNA (253 nucleotides) under uncultured bacterium. RNAcentral's name for it is "partial 16S ribosomal RNA". It matches the Rfam family "Bacterial small subunit ribosomal RNA", at positions 524 to 776 of the family's 1533-position model. The record is from RNAcentral.
UACGAAGGGGACUAGCGUUGUUCGGAAUUACUGGGCGUAAAGGGCUCGUAGGCGGCCAACUAAGUCAGACGUGAAAUCCCUCGGCUUAACCGGGGAACUGCAUCUGAUACUGGAUGGCUUGAGAUUGGGAGAGGGAUGCGGAAUUCCAGGUGUAGCGGUGAAAUGCGUAGAUAUCUGGAGGAACACCGGUGGCGAAGGCGGCAUCCUGGACCAACACUGACGCUGAGGAGCGAAAGCCAGGGGAGCAAACGGG